RNAcentral lists this ribosomal RNA (466 nucleotides) under Bacillus sp. Rc4. RNAcentral's name for it is "bacterial LSU rRNA". It matches the Rfam family "Bacterial large subunit ribosomal RNA", at positions 1 to 457 of the family's 2925-position model. Lineage: Bacteria; Bacillati; Bacillota; Bacilli; Caryophanales; Bacillaceae. The record is from RNAcentral.
CGGUUAAGUUAGAAAGGGCGCACGGUGGAUGCCUUGGCACUAGGAGCCGAUGAAGGACGGGACGAACAACCGAUAUGCUUCGGGGAGCUGUAAGCAAGCUUUGAUCCGGAGAUUUCCGAAUGGGGAAACCCACCACUCGUAAUGGAGUGGUAUCCAUAUCUGAAUUCAUAGGAUAUGAGAAGGCAGACCCGGGGAACUGAAACAUCUAAGUACCCGGAGGAAGAGAAAGCAAAUGCGAUUCCCUGAGUAGCGGCGAGCGAAACGGGAUUAGCCCAAACCAAGAGGCUUGCCUCUUGGGGUUGUAGGACACUCUGUACGGAGUUACAAAGGAACGAGGUAGAUGAAGAGGUCUGGAAAGGCCCGCCAUAGGAGGUAACAGCCCUGUAGUCAAAACUUCGUUCUCUCCUGAGUGGAUCCUGAGUACGGCGGAACACGUGAAAUUCCGUCGGAAUCCGGGAGGACCAUC